Molecule: ribosomal RNA, 484 nt
Filed under: uncultured bacterium
Lineage: Bacteria
Description: partial 16S ribosomal RNA
Rfam family: Bacterial small subunit ribosomal RNA
Source: RNAcentral
AUUGAACGCUGGCGGCAGGCCUAACACAUGCAAGUCGAGCGGAUGAAGGGAGCUUGCUCCUGGAUUCAGCGGCGGACGGGUGAGUAAUGCCUAGGAAUCUGCCUGGUAGUGGGGGAUAACGUCCGGAAACGGGCGCUAAUACCGCAUACGUCCUGAGGGAGAAAGUGGGGGAUCUUCGGACCUCACGCUAUCAGAUGAGCCUAGGUCGGAUUAGCUAGUUGGUGGGGUAAAGGCCUACCAAGGCGACGAUCCGUAACUGGUCUGAGAGGAUGAUCAGUCACACUGGAACUGAGAAACGGUCCCGGAUCCUAAGGGGAGGAACAGUGGGGAAUAUUGGACCAUGGGCGAAAGCCUGAUCCAGCCAUGCCGCGUGUGUGAAGAAGGUCUUCGGAUUGGAAAGCACUUUAAGUUGGGAGGAAGGGCAGUAAGUUAAUACCUUGCUGUUUUGACGUUACCAACAGAAUAAGCACCGGCUAACUUCGUG